RNAcentral lists this non-coding RNA (26 nucleotides) under Mus musculus (house mouse). The record is from RNAcentral. Lineage: Eukaryota; Metazoa; Chordata; Mammalia; Rodentia; Muridae.
UACAUUGUGACCGGAAAGUUGGCCUA